RNAcentral lists this ribosomal RNA (449 nucleotides) under uncultured bacterium. RNAcentral's name for it is "bacterial SSU rRNA". It matches the Rfam family "Bacterial small subunit ribosomal RNA", at positions 329 to 795 of the family's 1533-position model. The record is from RNAcentral.
GGCCAGACUCCUACGGGAGGCAGCAGUGGGGGAUAUUGGACAAUGGGGGAAACCCUGAUCCAGCGACGCCGCGUGAGUGAAGAAGUAUUUCGGUAUGUAAAGCCCUGUCAGCAGGGAAGAAAAUGACGGUACCUGAAGAAGAAGCCCCGGCUAACUACGUGCCAGCAGCCGCGGUAAUACGUAGGGGGCAAGCGUUAUCCGGAUUUACUGGGUGUAAAGGGGGCGCAGACGGCGAUGCAAGCCAGGAGUGAAAGCCCGGGGCCCAACCCCGGGACUGCUCUUGGAACUGCGUGGCUGGAGUGCAGGAGGGGCAGGCGGAAUUCCUGGUGUAGCGGUGAAAUGCGUAGAUAUCAGGAGGAACACCGGUGGCGAAGGCGGCCUGCUGGACUGCAACUGACGUUGAGGCCCGAAAGCGUGGGGAGCAAACAGGAUUAGAUACCCCCGUACUC